GACCCAGUCUCAAAAAAAAAAAAAAGUGUGUGUGUGUGUAUAUAUAUGUAUAUAUAUAUACACACACACACACUUUCCAAUACCAGUCGGCAUUACCCGCCCUUUGGUUUCUUUUGCUUUGGAUUUCAGCCCCCAUAUCAUUUCUGGUAACAGAGCACAGCAAUAGAAUUUCUGGGAAGCAGACCUUGUGAAUCGUGCCUGUGUCUUAAUUCACAAAGGGUAAGUGAAUGCCGUUGAAAGGUGUUUCAUACACUUACCCCAGAAAUGAGAGCCUGUCUCAUGCAGGAGUCGGGAGGCAGCGAUGUCAGGGAACUGGGACUAUGUCUUUAUGACUGUGAUGGUGGUAACCAAGUGGGGUGGUCCCCUCUGGGGAGCUGAGUAAGAACGCAAAGGUUUGGGUCAGUGAUUAGGAAGACUAUAAUAUGACUUUGUGCAUGCCCGGGAGGGCUGCCUUGUAGAGAGGAUGUGAGCAGCUUAGUCGCUCAUCUGGCCCUGUGAUUCAGGCUUAUGGAGCGUUAAGAAUAACAGCUGUCAAAUGGCCUAGACAUGGUUAAUGCAAUUUGUUGCUAGUGGAAAUCCUGAAUUGCUUCCUUUCUGUGAUCACUGCUACUUCUUAAGAUGCUUUUGAUGAAUGUCAUCUGCCUUACAAGUUGACACCUGAUAACUUCUCCCUGAUGGGUUUCCGAACUGGCUGACUUAACCAAAAAGCCAGCUCUUGCCAUCUAUCUUGCAUUAAAAGGAAUUCCUGAGGCUCCUAAGGGGUCAGCUGCCCCACUCCUGACUUUUUUAUUUUUAAUGGUCUAUACCUUCUGCAACAUUUUUGUUUAUGGCCAUUUGAAUAGUUGGACUUUGACUCCUCACUUGUGAAUAAUAGGAAUAUAUUUUGCAGAAUCUAACAUAAUACCCUUAAAAUUCAUACUGGACAACCAUCAGUGUGAUGUAUAGUAUCUGGUGUAAACAAAUUUUAUUCAGCAUAUUAAAUUAUUCUGUGUUUUGCUUUUCCUUGAUAUGUAGGAGGUGCACCAGUACCAGUUUUUCUCUUGUGGUGGCUUAAAACGCUGAUUGCCAUUUGCAUUGUCUACUGAAAAGCUGUGGCAGCGAGUGGUAUUAUUGACCAUGUGUUCUCAUGUCUUUUUGCAGAUUUAAAGGUUUUAUUGUAGUGUCCAUUUAAUAUCUGCAUGUGUGUUUAAUCUCUGAAUACCAUGUAAUUAAACUGAUUAACUUGUGAUGGUGAUGGUGAUUAGCACACACUAAAAACCCAAUGAAGCAAUUGUCUCCCUCUUCUUAACUGGAAAUCACACUUGUGAGGUAUGGUAUCCAUUAUCAACAGUGGAUUCAUGAUUGACUUCAUAUUUUGUGUAUCUGGUUAUAAAUUUUGUAUAGCAUUUAAUUUGGCACUUAAUAUAAAUCCAUUUGAUUUGAAUAGUGUGUGUGUGUACAUGGUGUGUGUGUGUGUGUGCACUUUAGUUUCGUGAGCCUUGGGAAACUGAUUCUACAAAUAUCUUAUAUAGAGAUAAAUGUAUCAGGCAUUUUUUUGCAAAGCGAUAUAUACAUUCCUCUUAUUUAUUAAAUCACUGGCUUUGGUGUUAUGUAGAGAUAUUUGUAGAUCUCAGAACA
Molecule: long non-coding RNA, 1617 nt
Filed under: Homo sapiens (human)
Lineage: Eukaryota; Metazoa; Chordata; Mammalia; Primates; Hominidae
Description: non-protein coding lnc-AACS-5:1
Source: RNAcentral